This 24-nucleotide transfer RNA is filed under the name Sminthopsis dolichura (little long-tailed dunnart). Its description in RNAcentral is "partial tRNA-Pro". Lineage: Eukaryota; Metazoa; Chordata; Mammalia; Dasyuromorphia; Dasyuridae. RNAcentral also lists the same sequence under 1 other name. The record is from RNAcentral.
GCAGGAAGUAGUUUAAGUAGAAUG